RNAcentral lists this non-coding RNA (24 nucleotides) under Arabidopsis thaliana (thale cress). Lineage: Eukaryota; Viridiplantae; Streptophyta; Magnoliopsida; Brassicales; Brassicaceae. The record is from RNAcentral.
UCAAAGAUUCCUACGGUCCCAGGG